AGAUUAUUCCCUCCACUGUUUGUACAGACACAGCCCUCUUCUGUCUGCAAUGAUAACUGCCACACGGGUUCUAGAAAAUCAAAGAAGGAAGGGAAGCCUUUUUAUUGCUAUGAUUGCAGCCCAUGUCCAGAAGGGAGAUUUCAAAUCAGACAGGUGAG
Varanus komodoensis (Komodo dragon) is the source of this 158-nucleotide long non-coding RNA. RefSeq lists it as uncharacterized. NCBI's taxonomy places the organism in Eukaryota, Metazoa, Chordata, Lepidosauria, Squamata, Varanidae. The record is from RefSeq and is a predicted model, not a curated record. The transcript has 3 exons.